Long non-coding RNA from Rhinopithecus roxellana (golden snub-nosed monkey), 947 nucleotides. RefSeq lists it as uncharacterized. Lineage: Eukaryota; Metazoa; Chordata; Mammalia; Primates; Cercopithecidae. The record is from RefSeq and is a predicted model, not a curated record. The transcript is spliced from 2 exons.
UGAUGCUUCCGGAAUACUAAAAUAGAACUCUACACAGUUGUUCCAAAGCUGAAAGCACCUGAUGUGCAGCAAACAGACCUGCCCACAUGGGAGUCGGUGACAGCCCCCUGCCUGUGUGCAGGGCUGCAGCUACUCUGCAGAAGCCUACAGCCAGCCAGGCCCAGCUCUCAGCCCCAAGGCUAGCACACUAGCAUUUCACAGCCUACACUUGGAUCGUGUGUCUUCUGAGACAGUUUAGGGACCAUAUUGUUUGCGUCAUCCAUGUUGUUUCUAAAGGGAGAAACAUCUUUCUGUGUCCCAACAAGUAAGCUCCCUAUUUUGGGAGCACCCCUGCUUUGUAAGGUGUGUCCUCCUGCCCAGAGUGAGUCAUUCCUCACAGAGCCUGCAGCUGGCUCCUGCUCCCAGGUGCUUGGUGAUAAGGGGAAAUCAACAGAAACUGGCUGUUUCCCAACACUCACUUGCCGAUGACUAAACCCAGAAAUUGUGGGGUAGCCUUAGGUAAGGAGACGAAAGUUGAAAACUUAAGACCCGGAUCCUUCAGGCAUUUGAGACUGGCUGAGAAGGCAAGGCAUGCCAGAUCGUCUCUGCUCAGGCUGCCUCUGGAUCUGUUGGAUGGUUUGAAGCCUCCCCUGCAUUUUGUUCCCGAGACUGAGGAAUAGAGUCGUCUGAAAUGGUGGAGAUCUCAGCAACCCAGCCGAAGAGCACAGCCCUUGCGCUUCCUCCCGGGCUCUGCCCCCAGGACCCCAAGCAAGAUUCCAGCCUCUCUGAAGCACCAUUUCUUCCUCCAUGAAAUAGAACAUCGCCUGCCGAAGGAACUCAGAUGAGCAAAUGAUUUAUGUGGAAGUGCUUUGUGUGAUAGUUAAAUGCUAGAGACAUAAGUGAUCAUUUUUCAGUAAAAAAAAAAAUCCACUAUCAAGUCAGAAAGUAAAUCUUUAGGUAGAUUUGAA